AAUAAACGAAUUUCUAAGUUUUUCUAUAGAAUUUUUGUCUCUUCAUCUUAUUUGAAUUUUUUUAAGAUUAAUAUUUUAAUUGUUAUCACAUGAUAAAACAUAACUAGUACUUUACGUGUGACUAAAUUUUUUUUAACUUUUUCAUAAAUUUUUCAAAUAAGACGGAUGGUCAAACGUCAAACCUAGAAAACUCAGAAAUGCUCUUUUU
This 208-nucleotide microRNA precursor is filed under the name Oryza brachyantha (malo sina). RNAcentral's name for it is "MIR812 microRNA precursor family". It matches the Rfam family "MIR812 microRNA precursor family". Lineage: Eukaryota; Viridiplantae; Streptophyta; Magnoliopsida; Poales; Poaceae. The record is from Rfam by way of RNAcentral.